AGUGAACGCUGGCGGUAGGCCUAACACAUGCAAGUCGAACGGCAGCACAGUAAGAUCUUGCUCUUACGGGUGGCGAGUGGCGGACGGGUGAGGAAUACAUCGUAAUCUACUUUUUCGUGGGGGAUAACGUAGGGAAACUUACGCUAAUACCGCAUACGACCUACGGGUGAAAGCAGGGGAUCUUCGGACCUUGCGCGAUUGAAUGAGCCGAUGUCGGAUUAGUUAGUUGGCGGGGUAAAGGACGACCAAGGCAACGAUCCGUAGCUGGCCUGAGAGGAUGAUCAGCCACACUGGAACUGAAACACGGUCCAAACUCCUACGGGAGGAACCAGUGGGGAAUAUUGGACAAUGGGCGAAAGCCUAAUCCAGCCAUACCGCGUAGGUAAAGAAGGCCUUCGGUUUGUAAAGCCCUUUUGUUGGGAAAAAAAAUCAUCAGAUUAAUACCCCGCUGUUCUGACGGUACCCAAACAAUAAGCAACGGCUAACUUCGUG
This 492-nucleotide ribosomal RNA is filed under the name uncultured bacterium. RNAcentral describes it as "partial 16S ribosomal RNA". It matches the Rfam family "Bacterial small subunit ribosomal RNA", at positions 29 to 507 of the family's 1533-position model. The record is from RNAcentral.